RNAcentral lists this long non-coding RNA (1769 nucleotides) under Citrus x clementina. RNAcentral describes it as "Citrus clementina (C. clementina) long non-coding RNA (CCLE_LNC000315)". Lineage: Eukaryota; Viridiplantae; Streptophyta; Magnoliopsida; Sapindales; Rutaceae. The record is from RNAcentral.
AUCAAUUAAAUCAUACCGGCUUUACAAGAAUUUAUCGCACUAAUUUGUUCGUUGAGCUCUAGACUAUUCUUGAUGUCGCCGUUGUCCGUUGAGUGUCUUCAAUCUUGAUUUCACUUGAUUCACUUGCAUAAAUAUUAUCCUUCAAAAACUAGUGAAAAUGUGAAAUACAAUAUUUAUUAAAUCACUCAAUACAUAUGUUUGUUAUCAUCAAAAUUACAUUAUGUAUAGCCCUUUAGGCUAACAGUCCUAUCCACAUGCAGAAACUUGUUGGCAACUGAGUUAUGCUUCCAUAUGAGCUACACUUUAAUCUCUACUCAGGUUCCCCUUCAACAUCUCCUUGCUCUAUUCCCCCCAGGUUUAGUAGGAAUUCAAAAAUGACUUGAGCUUUAGUAGCUGAGUGAGACCUUUUUUUUGCAUCCAUUAUAGCUUUACCGGGAUAGUAAAUAGGAUAUUGAAAUUUAGUGUCUUUGCAUCCGAGCAAAACUAAACUUGUGGCAUUCUCUGAGAUAGAUGAGCAAAUCAUCAGGAUAUCUCUUGACUUUUUCUUAUAGAAUAAUGGUGAAAGGAGAUUGGUAGAUGACUAGAGCUUGAUCUUCGCAUUGUAGUCUAAAGAAAACUUUAGAAAGCAUAUCUAGGGAGCUUAAUAUAGCUGGUGGUAUAAAUUACAUGAGCUUAUAAAUAGUAUACAAUCUAGGUAUCAAAACCAUCACAAUAAGUAGAAAAUACACAUAAAGAAUUAAAAAAAACACUUAAGAUUUUACGUCAAUCAGCCAUUUGGCCUAUAUCCACAAAAGUAACUCAUCUUUAAUCUACUAUUUAAAUGAAGUAUUACACGAUUUGCUUUAUAAUAUCAACAAAAUGUUAUUAAAGGCCUUUUAUAGUGAAUAAUAACAUGGGGGAGAUGUGAGUUUUAUAGAGAUUAGAGAAUUCUCUAAGGGAAGAAUAAGGAAAAAAUUGCUUUGAGAGGUAAUUUGGUUAAUAUUCUAUGGAGGUGUAAAAAUAUAGAAGAAACCCUAAAAAUAGAGGAAGAUGAUAAAGCAGCCUCUUAAGAAAUCAGAUCUAGAAAAAGACCUCAUUUUCCUUAUGUUUAAAGUUGAAUUUUCACUGGUCUAUCCUCCAUAAGUGGGAUUGUUUUUGUCUUUUCAUUUUAUUUACUUGAUGGUGACCAAAUAACCAUAAUGGAUACGUAAUCGCUUUAUCCCUCAUGUGGUCCUUGCUCUUCGCCAUGGUGGACGCUGGUGCAAUGGUCCUACUACUAUUUAAGAGACAGUUGAGGAAUGCUAACAUGUCAUUCUCUCAUUGUUAUGCUUAGUUGAUUAUUCUUCUAUUGGUCCAUUCCUUUUAACUUAAAAACAAAGAUACUUAUUCUUUUUCUAAUGGCAUGUUGCCCACUUACGUGAGGGCACCAAUCGUCAUAUUUGAAUUUCACUUUUACCCCUUUAGUUGGACAAAUUGGAUAGUUCUCGCCCAAUCCAGUUCAAAUCUAAUUGAAACAAAUAAAUUUAUAUUUAAGGAGAGCUUGUGCUAAGUUAAGUCGUAGGUGUGCUUUCUGAUGUUUGGGGUAGGUGGUUUAGUUGAGAUACCCUAGAUGGUGAGCCAAAGUAACAUAUAGGAAUUGAUUUAAGGAGUAACCCAAGUGUCUCACAGAAUACUUAGGGUAGUUGAGGCAGCUCAAGUAUACUUGAGGGAUAGCUCAUGUGUCUUAUCGAAAACUUAGUGUAAGUAAGGUAUGUUAAGUAUGCUCAUACGUGAAACUCAAUUAUGGCCGU